Molecule: ribosomal RNA, 424 nt
Filed under: uncultured prokaryote
Description: bacterial SSU rRNA
Rfam family: Bacterial small subunit ribosomal RNA
Source: RNAcentral
UGGGGAAUAUUGCGCAAUGGGGGCAACCCUGACGCAGCCAUGCCGCGUGGGUGAAGAAGGCCUUCGGGUUGUAAAGCCCUUUCAACGGUGAAGAUGAUGACUGUAGCCGUAGAAGAAGCCCCGGCUAACUUCGUGCCAGCAGCCGCGGUAAUACGAAGGGGGCUAGCGUUGUUCGGAAUUACUGGGCGUAAAGGGCGCGUAGGCGGACUGUCCAGUCAGGGGUGAAAUCCCGGGGCUUAACCUCGGAACUGCCUUUGAUACUGACAGUCUAGAGUCUGUGAGAGGAUGACGGAAUACCCAGUGUAGAGGUGAAAUUCGUAGAUAUUGGGUAGAACACCGGUGGCGAAGGCGGUCAUCUGGCGCAGCACUGACGCUGAGGCGCGAAAGCGUGGGGAGCGAACAGGAUUAGAUACCCCCGUAGUCC